GCCUGUACACAAGACCAGCAACUGAACCAUGACUAUCAGCAUCAUCAGUCACGGAUUCAUGUGUAAACUCUCUCGCAUCUCCAUCUUCAAUUAUUUCUGGGAAAUCAGCAUAAUGAGAGCCUUGCCAAACUUUCUUGUCCGUCAAGGUUAGAGCUUCGCUGGAAGAGUUCCAAAGCUUGCCGUUUGUGGUUUGUUGAGCAUUUUUCUGAGAAGCAGCCAUGGUAGCUAUCUAUGUGCUAUGGUUUGGUUGUGUUAUGCUUCAAAUAUUGCAAUACACACCUACUUAUAUACUAGUGUACACCAUGCAUGCAUUGUCCAUAACAACAAUGUUUAUGCGCAUGAAAUUUGUAGACUGCAUUCAUAUCAAAACUUUUUUUUAUUCGUAUUCUUGAUGUGUCUUUUCACUUCUAAGUAAACAUUCUUUUCAAUUAAAGAAAUAUAUUUUAACGUAUUUGAAUUUUUUGAUAAAUUAUUUUUAAGUAUAUAAUUUUUGUAUUAUAAUUAACAAUAUAAAGGGUAAACCCCUUCCAAUGUGACCUAAAUUAUUAUUAAGUUUACAUUUUCUCACUCAAUUUUAUAAAGUUACAACAUGAUCAUUAUAUUAUUCAAAAAAUUUUAUUCUAAGUCAUUGAGCUAUUAAAAUUGUUGUGGUAUGGCCUUCUCUAUUCACACUACUUGUAUCUAUCGAAAGCUCUCAUUUCCCUUCUCUUCUACAAUUCACUUUUUUUUUCUUGAAAUAAGUUUGCACAUCUCAAUCUGUGAACCAAAAUUCAAAUAGCUUUUUUCUUCGAUCAUUGACAUUGAUCGUUAGAUCGACUUGGAUCUAAAAUAUGUUCUCUUACUUGUCAAUGGGUCUUGAUCCACCGUAGCGAUCGUCGAAUCAUCAUUUGAAGCUUGCUAGCCGGACUUUUAAAAUAAAUCUUAACAGCCUAGUGUCUUCACUAAAAACUUUCGAAUAGUUGAGUGACUUAAAUGAAAAUUUUCAAAUAGUUUAGUGACAAUUUUAUAACUUUUUAAAAUUGAAUAACCAAAAUAUAAAUUUACUAAUAAUUUAGUAACCUUAAAUGUAAUUUACCCUAAUAUAAAAGUAUAAUUGUUAGGUACCAAGAUUAAACCCACAUCAUAUAAUUAAAUAAAUAAAUUUCAACGGAUGUAUUAUAUAAAAAAUUAGUACAUAAUAAUAAGUGUCAUCUCUAAAUUAAAAAUUUCCAUCAUAUGAAUUUGAAUUUCUAAAAUAUCCUUUAAUCUUAAUUAUAUAUUUUUAAACAAAUAUUUUUAAGAAUUGUUCAAAUAAUUUCUUCUACUAACUAGUGUCAGUUGCUAGUGCUUACAAAACUCCAUGUCCACCAUAUGAAUCUUGUGUAGAUUUAUAUAUUAAUUAUAUAUUAUGCCACAUUUGUUACGUGGAAGAUUGAAAAAAAUAUAGAUAUUAUGGAAGCAUUUUAAAAAAACUAAUAUUAAAUUUUGUUACGUUGAUGAUACGUAAUAAUCUUGAGAUAUAUUUUAUAUUGAUAUUGUCUUCGAGUGAAUUUUAAGUGUAAUUUAACUUAAAAUCUUAUAUGUUGUACCAUCUACUGACUCUUUCAUUAAACUUUGAAUCCCUUUGAAAAAAGAGAGUCUAACCCAUAUUUUAUAAUAACUAAUAAACAUGGAUAUUUCCUUUUACUAUGGGCUUUAAGUAAAUGGUUUUUAAAAGAUAAAAGUAAUUUAAUUAAUUGAUUUUGAGUAUCAAAUUAUUUCAAAUAAAUAAUUGAUUGGACCACUAGAGGUUCUUCUGCAUUGUUACGAUGUUUGCUUUUCCGUGAUUCUAGUGUUUAGCAUUGUCUGAUGUUUCUCCUGUAUGUGUUGGAAUAUUUUUAAUUAAUUGAAAGAGUCUAAUUAAUUAAAAGUUAUAUUUUUUUUGUUAUUAAUAAAGAACCAUAACUAUUUCAAUAAUAUUAUUUGAAUCGAGAGAUAUUAAAUAAAUAAUUAUUUUUUUAAAGAUAUUGAAAUAUGUCUCUAUGAAAAGACUUGUAAUUUUUAUAGAUAGGAAUGAAAUUUUAUUUGGUAAUCAUACCAACAAGUUCUAAAAAUUAUUUCUAUUUUUCCUCCAUCUUCUAAUAUCAUUGGAUAAUUCUAUAAAGAGUUACUGCAAAAAUUCUUUAUAGAAAUUGAUUUUCUUGUUAUACAUUGCUCAGUACUUAGUAGACUAUUUUCGUCAGUGCAAAACGCAAAUAGUCAUCGGGCUUCAUCUGCUUGAAACUUAUUUGCCUACCAACUAUAGGUGGGGGGCAAAUAGAACCUUAAAGAUAGUGGCCUGAUACACACCUUGGAGCCUUGUCCUAUUUUUUUUUUCUAUUUGUUUAUUGUUCAUGUUCCGUUCGUGUGUUCGAGAUUUUCCUCACCUAAGAUUUGUACAAACACUUUCAAGGUUCUAUUUUCAUGAUGAUUACUACAACACAUAAAAGUAGAACACUAAGGGAGUUGGCUUCCAACUUUGUCAACCUUGAUCGAUUUGAUGGUGUCAAUUUUAGACGGUGGCAGAAAAAGGUACACUUCUUAUUAUCAACUUUGAUCGCCUAUGUUUUGGAUGCUCUAAGACCAUAAGAGAAUGAAAAUAAAUCCAUUGCUACAACCCGAGAAAGGUGAAAAUGGGACAAUGCUGAUUACAUAUGCAUAGGCUACAUAUUAAAUGAUUUAUUCGAUGGUUUGUUCGACACCUACCAAAAUGAGGUCAUCACUAAGGAAUUAUGGCACAAAUUGGAGACAAGAUACAUGACCUAUGAUGCUACAAGUAAGAAAUUUCUUGUUAUUCAUUUCAAUAAUUAUCAAAUGAUUGAUGGUCGUUUUGUUAUGAAAUAAUUUCGUGAUAUUGAAAAAAAGCUGAAUCAAUUUAAGGAAUAUGAUAUGAAAAUGGAUGAAAUGAUUGUUGUAUCCUCCAUAAUAGACAAACUUCCUUCAUCAUGGAAAGACAUAAGAAAGAGGAAAUAUAUCUUGAAGAUUUGGCAAUUCAUCUUCGUAUUGAAGAAGAAUAUUGAAAGUAAGAUCAGAACCUAGAUUCUGAAAAUGCCAAAGUGCAUAUUACGGAGAAAGUACACACUACUAAACCAUCCAAGAGAAAGUUCAUACAGAUUGUUGAAGCACUUAAGUUCAAAACAAAACAAAAGGGCUCCUGUUACCAUUGUGGCAAGCUGGGACAUUUCAAGAAUGAAUGUCGAUUCUUAAAGAAGAAAUCUUCUUUUAAGGUUGAUAAUAAAGAAAAGUUCGUUGCCAUGAUUUCUGAAAUUAAUAUGGUACAAGAUGAUAAAGUAUGGUGGAUUGAUACUGGAGCAACGAAACAUGUGUGAAAAGAUAAAAACAUGUUCACAAAGUUCACACAAUGUGAAUAUGGCAAUGACUUAUACAUGAGAAAUUCUUCCAUCGUAACAACCAAAGGCAAAGGGUUUGUUGAACUAUAAUUCACUUUUGGAAAGGUUUUAAUCUUGAAAGGUGUAUAUUAUGUACCAGAAGUUAGGAAGAAUUUAGUGUCUGAAAGUCUAUUGAAUAAGUUUGGUUUCAAUCUUAUUUUUGAGGUAGAUAAGUUUAUUCUGUCUAAGGGAGGAAUUUCUGUAAGGGUAGGGUAUAUGUAUGAUGGUAUGUUCAAACUCAAGAUUAUUUUUUUUGCUCAAUCAUUAUCAAUUAUAGAAAAAGGCCAUGGAGAAUCCAAGUCUGUCCAGUCUCAAAAACUUGCAUCAUACAAUAAACUCUACCAAAGCCAAUAAAACCAACUCUGCAAAAUCCCCCAAAACUGAAUACAUAGUAGCAAAAAUAGAACAACUAAUCAAACAAAGACCGAUACUCCCAUUCUCUUCAACACUCUCACCACUAUGCUUUAAAGGUAUCCGAAUGCAUAACCCCUGCUAUUGCCAGUGCAAAAGCCAUUUCGUUCCCCAUAUGUUCUACUUUCCCAAAUGACAAAUAUGAUCUUCUCUCAAUUUCAGCAAAAAAAAUAGUUUAACUUUCCCACUCUUGACUGUGUUUAAGAAAGCCAUUUAAACACCACAUUGGAACCAACUUCAAUCAAUAAUGGACAACAAGUUGCCCAUCCCAUACCUUCAUAUAACUCAAGCGCGACUCCAAUUGACUUCAAUUCUGCCAAUUUAGCAUCUUUUGCCUCGCUCGGACCCGAGAAUAAUGCUCGCGCCACUCCAUCUUCAUCUCUCAAUACCCCUCCACCUCCAACUUUGGCUUCGAACACUACCCCGCAUACGUUAAAUUUCAACCAACCCCUUGGAGGAAACCGCCAACUCAUCUCCGAGCCCUUAAAGUUUUGUUAUAAGACCUACAUUUUAAAGGGUCAAACCACCAAAAACUUUCAGUUAAAAUGACUUCAUUAUACACCGCCCUUACCCACAUCAUUGCUCUCAUCUUCGAGUGGAAAAUCAUCGUAUCCAUUGGUAUCAUUUUUUGAUUGAACACCACCUUAUUUCUUGCCAGUCAAAUUGACCAACAUGUAGCUGAAAUUGAGAUCAACCAUAAAAUUUUCAUAACCCCUAAUAGAUAUACAUUAUUACACAAUUUAAAGAAUUCAAGAAAACCCUCCACGGGUUCCCAUCUCAUCUCCCACCAGUUAAAGAUUCUCCUCCAAAAUCCUUCAACAAAUUUACAUUUAAAACACAAAUGAUCAACUCUUUCCAACUCUUUACCGCACCAUGGACAUUUCUUUCUCAUUUGCUGGAACUGAAAGCCUCGCCUUUCCAAGAACUCUAUUGUGGGAAAUCUUCCUAAUGCCAGCAUCUAAAGAAAACUUCUUACCCUCGGUGGCACCUUCAUCUUCUAAAUUUUGUUGAAUUCAAAACUUAAACCCUCCGCCCCCUUCUCCGUCAAUAAAUUUGGCAUUCUCUUUAUCGAAAAUUCUCCCUUACUGUAAUGCAGCCAUAUCAAUCAGUCAUCUUUCUCAUGAGCUAACUUUAUUUUUUUUACCUCUUCAAUCAUUUUCUCAAGCAUAUCCACCUCUCUGUUAAGCAGUUUUCUUAUAAAAUAUUCUCCCCACUUUACUUCACUAAAUCCCCUAUUUUUUGUAUACAUUCCCACCCUUCCUUUUUUUUAGUUUUGCCAAGAUUAUUGAUAAGAAUAAAAAUAUUGUUUCUGCUUAUAUGGUUGAAUCUUCUUAUUUAUGGCAUUAUAGAUUAGGUAAUUUGAAUUAUAGAAAAUUCCGUGACAUGCAUAAGUUAGAUUUAAUUUCUAUUUUUAAUAAUAAUAUUGAAAAAUGGAAAGCAUGCAUGUUGACUAAAAUUACUAGAAACCCUUUCCCUAAGGUUAAAAGGAAAACAAAAAUACUUCAUUUGAUACAUAGUGAUUUGUGUGAUGUGCAUAAUACUUCUACAUUAGGUGGAAAGAAAUAUUUUGUUACUUUUAUUGAUGAUUGUUCUUGAUAUUGCUAUGUAUAUUUAUUGUAUUCAAACGAUGAAGCGCUUAUAAAUAUGAAGUUUAACUUCAAUGUGACUAAUUCAUCAAGUGCUUAAGAUCGAAUAGAGGUGGAGAAUACUAUAAUCCAGAUUAUUUUGAAUCCAUUGGGAUUAUCCAUCAAGUUUCAACCCCUUACACACCACAACAUUGAUUGCAUACACAAUUACGGUAUUUAAAUUAGCUCCAUUGUCCAUGGAUUCUACAAGAAAGUUGUGUUGACAUUGAUGAUUUGGUUUAAGCUAUUGGUGAUGUCUGUAUUGUCAAAGCGUCAGAUAGAAUGUAUAACAGAUGCCUUGAUCAUUGCUGAAUUUCACAAAUCCAGCAUGUUUUAAAACUUGGUGGUAGUUGCAGCUACUGGUUAUGUAUCGAGUUGCUGGGAUGCUAGUUAUGUUUUAUUGUGCUGCUGGAAACAUGAUUUGUUGUUGGGAGAUUAUUUGUUGUCAGAUUUUCUAUGUUAUUGUUAGUAUAUUAAAUUAGUAUAUUGCUAAUUUAAUUAGUCGAAAUUGUCAAAGUUUGUUAGAAUUAACAAACUAUAGUUUAGUUUGUUAAUAGUCUGUUUAGUCAGUUUUCUUCUCUUGUAAUUUGUAUAAAUACAUUUAUUGAAUGAAUGAAAAUACAAGUAAAAUUUUACCAAAUACACAAUUUCCACAUGGUAUCAGACGUUUAAAGAUUCUUCCGCAUUUUCUCUGCUUUUCUGCAUUUUCUUGGCAUUUUCCUGGAUUCUUUUUCCAUUAUGCCUGUUAAUUCAUCAACGAUUGAGCUUUCUGAUCCUACAAUUCCUAUUUCCAGUCCUUAUUAUUUGCAUCCAAAUGAAAAUCCUUCGCUUAUACUUGUUUCACCAGCUCUUAAUAGUUCCAACUAUCAUUCUUGGUCUCGUGCAAUGCGUCUUGCACUUCUCUCGAAGAACAAGCUUCAGUUUGUUGAUGGAAGCAUUACAGUGCCAUCUGACACUGAUUCUCUUUAUCCUGCUUGGGAACGAUGUAACACCAUGGUAAUUUCUUGGCUUAAUCACUCUAUCAGUUCUUUCAUCUUUAGCAGUGUUCUUUGGGUUAAUACUGCAUUUGAUAUAUGGAAUGAUCUUCGAGAACGAUUUUCUCAAGGUGAUGUUUAUCAAAUCUCUGAUUUGCAAGAUGAGAUUUCAUCUUUUAAGCAAGAUGAUCAGUCAGUUACAGACUAUUUUACUGAACUCAAGAUUCUCUGGGAUGAGUUGUUACAUUUUAGGCCUCUUCCUCGCUGUUCUUGCAAUACACCUUGUUCUUGUGGUGUUUUGACUACUAUCAAGCGUUAUCAUGAUGAUGACUAUGUGAUUCGCUUUCUUAAAGGUCUUAAUGAUAAAUUUACUGGUGCGCGAUCUCAGAUUAUGCUUUUAGAUCCUUUGCCAUCCAUUAAUAAGGCUUUUUCUAUGGUGAUUCAACAAGAAAGACAGUUCAAUACUGGAAAUUCAAAGGUGUUUGUUAAUAAUCUGUCUUCCUCUGAUAAUACCUCUAGUGUGAAUGCUGUUACUAAGCGAUUUGAUGCUUCUUCUUCAACUGUUGACAAAAGAUGGUGUAUUUUCUAUCAAAGGCCUCGUCAUACAAUUGAAACAUGUUUUCACAAGAAUGGUUAUAAUAAUGGAUACAGGGCAAAGGGUCAGGCUCGUGUCAACAAUGUUUAUUCUGAUGAUGUUGCUGAGCCUCCACCUACUUCAACACUAAGUGAUUCCUCAUCUAAUAAUUCUGGUUUUACUUUGACUCAAGAGCAAUAUUCUCAGCUUCUUGCUUUACUCAAACCAUCACCCUCUCCAUCCAUUCCCUCUUCUACCUCUUUAACCAACAAUGUUAUCCGUGACUCUCACUUUACUCUUGCUACCACUGAAGGUAUAUCUUUAACUCCUUUUUGGAUCAUUGAUACUAGUGCUACUGAUCAUAUUACCUAUUCUUUAUCAUCUUUUGCCUCAUAUAAACAUAUUAAACCCAUCCUUGUUACUUUACCUAAUGGUACCAAACUUGAAGCAUGUAUAUCUGGUACUGUUAUUUUUCAUGAACAUUUAUGUUUACAUGAUGUUCUUUAUAUUCCAGCUUUUACCUUCCAUUUGCUUUCUGUAACCAAACUUACUACUACUUUGCCAUGUUGUUUUACCUUUCAUUCUACUGUUUGCAAGAUACAGGCUCUCCCAUCCUGGAAGAUGAUUGGUACAGCUAGAGCAUAUCGAGGUCUUUAUCUACUUGACUAUCCAUCUCAAACUUUUACCCUUUCUACUACAACCUUAACUGCUACUCCUACUACAGAUGUAUGGCAUUCUCGUCUUGGUCAUCUUUCAGACUCGAGAAUAAAACUUCUUUUACCAGAAAUACCUACUUUACAAUUUUUUGAUAAUUCAGCUUGUAAAACGUGUCACUUGGCAAGGCACAAAAAGCUUUCUUUUCCUGUAAGCAAUUCUGUUUCAAUAAAGAGAUUUGAUCUCAUACAUGCUGAUAUUUGGGGCCCUAAUCCUCUUGUUUCUAUUAAUGGCCAUAAAUAUUUCUUGAAAAUUGUUGAUGAUUACAGCCGUUAUACCUGGCUUAUUUUUUAAAAAACAAAGUCUGAAGUUCGAGAACAUAUUCAAAAUUUCUUCCAAAUGGUUGAGACCCAAUUUUCAGCCAAAAUUAAAGUGAUUCGAUCUGAUAAUGGUUCUAAAUUUGCUAUGCCUUCUUUUUAUGCUUCUAAAGGAACCAUACAUCAAACAUCUUGUGUGGAAACACCACAACAAAAUGGCUUGGUGGAACGAAAACAUCAACAUAUUUUAAAUGUUGCUCGAGCCCUCUUGUUUCAUUCUCAUACACCUCAAUAUUUCUAGGGAUAUUCAGUCUUACAUGUUGUCUAUCUCAUAAAUAGAACACCUACACCUCUCCUUUCCAACUUACACCUUAUGAAAAGUUUCACCAAACCAAACCAGAUUACUUUAUUCUAAAAGUUUUUGGUUGUUUGACUUAUGCAUCUACUUUAACAGCUCAUAGGCAUAAAUUUGAUUCUCGUUCUCGAACAUGUAUUUUUCUUGGCCUUUCACCUACAGUUAAAGGUUAUGUACUUUUUGACUUAGAUACCAAAAUCAUUUUCAUCUCUCGAAAUGUAACCUUUCAUGAACACCAUUUUCCAUUUCUUCACAGUUCCUUGUCUCAUUCAUCACCUUCAUUACCAGUUUUAACUUCCUCUCCUACCUAUGAUGAACCUAUAUCAGAUUCAUCUUCUUCUAUUGAAACACCAUCACCACCUACAAAUACUGAACCACAUAUUGAACCACCACCCACAAAUACUGAACCACAUGAUGAACCACAUAUUGAACCACCAACUCCAAAUGUAACCCGUCCUACAAGAAACAGACAACCACCUCGUUAUUUGAAUGAUUAUCAAUGCUCUGCUCUGCAGGCUGGUACCAAUCUUCUCCCAGGUAAUAAUUACUCUCUUAGUCAAACUUUUUUCCUAUUCAAACCUUUCAGCUACACAUUUACACUAUACUUUAGCCAUUACUGCCACUACUGAACCAAAAACAUACACACAAGCCGUAAAACAUUUACAUUGGCGAGAGGCAAUGCAAGCUGAGAUUAAUGCUCUUGAACAAACUAAGACCUGGAUUAUUACUGAGUUACCACCUGGUAAGCAAGCAAUUGGUUGCAAAUGGGUUUUUCGAGUCAAACAUAAGACUGAUGGCUCAAUUGAGCGAUACAAAGCUCGCCUGGUUGCUAAGGGAUACACACAACGAGAAUGUGUUAAUUAUUUUGACACUUUCUCUCCGGUUGCAAAGAUUACUACUGUGCGACUUCUUCUUGCUUUAGCUGCAUCUCAGAAUUGGUUUCUCUAGCAGUUAGAUGCCAAUAAUGCGUUCUUACAUGGUGAAUUGAAUGAGGAAGUUUACAUGAAGUUGCCCCCUGGAUUUGAAGGAUCAGACAAGAGCAAAGUCUGCAAAUUACAAAAAUCUCUAUAUGGCUUAAAACAAGCUAGCAGACAGUGGUUCUCCAAACUUACAGCUUCUCUUUUAUCCCUUGGCUACAAACAAUCCUCCUCUGAUCAUUCUCUCUUUGUCAAAAAGGAAAAUGAUUCUUUUACAGCCUUGCUUGUUUAUGUUGAUGAUAUGAUAUUGGCUGGUAAUAAUCAACAUGAAAUUUCUACAGUUAAGAGUUUUCUAGAUCAGGCAUUUAAAAUCAAAGAUCUUGGUGAGCUUAAGUAUUUUCUUGGUCUCGAGAUUGCAAGGUCAACUGAAGGAAUUCAUUUAUCUCAAAGGAAGUAUUGUCUUGAGAUUUUGACUGAUAGUGGCUUCAUGGAAUGUAAACCAGCAAAAAAUCCAAUGGAAACCAAAUCAACCUCAAAAUUGUGAAGUGAUGACAGUGAAUUACUUGCUGAUAAUACACUCUAUAGACAGCUGGUUGGUCGACUCAUUUAUCUUACAUCAACACGACCAGACAUUUCAUUUGCAGUUCAGCAGCUAAGUCAAUUCUUGGAUAAACCAACUGUGUUGCAUCUUCAGGCAGCUCAUCAUGUAUUGCGCUACUUAAAGAACUCUCCUAGUUCUGGAAUAUUUUUCUCAGCAACUUCUUCUUUGCUACUUCGAGGCUUUAGUGAUUCUGAUUGGGCUGGUUGUCCAGAAACCAGACGAUCUAUAAGUGGUUUUUGUAUUUUUCUUGGUGACUCCCUUAUUAGUUGGAAAGCAAAGAAGCAAACCACAGUGUCUCGCUCAUCCUCUGAAGCUGAGUAUCGAGCAUUAGCAGCAGCAGCUUGUGAAAUUCAAUGGUUGCACUAUCUACUUGAUGAUCUUCAUCAACCAGUUUCUUCAUCAACAAGAUUGUAUUGUGAUAAUAAUUCUACUUUACAGAUAGCUGCUAAUCCAACAUUCCAUGAAAGAACAAAACACAUCGAGAUUGAUUGUCAUAUUGUAAGCGAGAAAGUUUCAACUGGUGUGAUACAAUUGUUGCCUUGUUCUUCUAAAGAUCAGUUGGCUGACAUGUUUACCAAAUCCUUGGCUACUGCUCCAUUUCGAGAAAAUUUGUUCAAGCUAGGCAUGUUGAAUAUACAUUCUCUAGCUUGAGGGGGGAUGUUAGUAUAUUAAAUUAGUAUAUUGCUAAUUUAAUUAGUCGAAAUAGUCAAAGUUUGUUAGAAUUAACAAACUAUAGUUUAGUUUGUUAAUAGUCAGUUUAGUCAGUUUUCUUCUUUUGUAAUUUGUAUAAACACAUUCAUUGAAUGAAUGAAAAUACAAGUAAAAUUUUACCAAAUACACAAUUUCCACAGUUAUAGUUACUGGUUUGUAGUUUGAUGAUUCGAUGGAUGGAUGCGGAAGUUGGAGAAAACAUAAACUAUAAACUGAGUCAAAAGAUAAAAUAGUAAAGGCCAUUCUGUUUUAUUUUUCCAUAAUAUUAUACAAAUAGUCAACCAUGUAUAUAUACGUGGCACUGACAUGAUUGUGAAGGCCUACACACUUUCUAUUAGUUGAACCGGCUAUCAAAAUUUUUUACUAUAAUAGUAGUACAGGUAAUGCAGCAGCAGGAAGCACAUUAUUAUUUAAUUUUGAUAGCCUGAAUUACCAGCAUAGCUUGAUGAAGAAGCAAAGGCAGUUAGGCCUCUAACUCAAAUGAUGCCUUCAUUGUGGGUGAACGGCUCCCGGGAUCAAUUUCAACAGAUGCAAUAUACCCAAACUUUGUAACUUUAAAUUUUGGUUUUCCUCUUUUCUCAAGGUUGGUUUUGAUUUGCCCCCAGUGAAUAGGUUGCCUUUGGAUAUCAGUAUAGACCUGCAGCAUGCAUGCAAUUAAUCAUAGCUUAAAUGAUAAUGUAUAAGCAUUCUAACUAGUUAAUUAAUGAUAAGAUUGAAUCGAAUGUAAUAUAUACCUUGCUGUUCUCAUCUAGUGGGUUGCUCCAGGCAACAACCCACUUAGUUCCAUCACGUCGCCUGUACACAAGACCAGCAACUGAACCAUGACUAUCAGCAUCAUCAGUCACUGAUUCAUGUGUAAACUCACUCACAUCUCCAUCUUCAAUUAUUUCUGGGAAUUCCGCGUAAUGAGAGCCUUGCCAAACUUUCUUGUCAGUCAAGGUUAGAGCUUCGCUGGAAGAGUUCCAAAGCUUGCCGUUUGUGGUUUGUUGAGCAUUUUUCUG
This 11526-nucleotide long non-coding RNA is filed under the name Gossypium barbadense (sea-island cotton). RNAcentral describes it as "long non-coding RNA (GBAR_LNC016344)". The record is from RNAcentral. Lineage: Eukaryota; Viridiplantae; Streptophyta; Magnoliopsida; Malvales; Malvaceae.